This 248-nucleotide ribosomal RNA is filed under the name uncultured bacterium. RNAcentral describes it as "partial 16S ribosomal RNA". It matches the Rfam family "Bacterial small subunit ribosomal RNA", at positions 523 to 769 of the family's 1533-position model. The record is from RNAcentral.
AUACGGAGGAUCCGAGCGUUAUCCGGAUUUAUUGGGUUUAAAGGGUGCGCAGGCGGGAUGUUAAGUCGGCGGUGAAAUUUUGCAGCUCAACUGUAAAAAGUGCCUUCGAUACUGGCUUUCUUGAGUGUGGAUGAAGUAGGCGGAAUUUGUGGUGUAGCGGUGAAAUGCUUAGAUAUCACGAGGAACUCCGAUUGCGCAGGCAGCUUACUAAACCACUACUGACGCUCAUGCACGAAGGCGUGGGGAUC